AACAAAAACAUGUCCUCUUGUUUGUAUUUAUUUGAGGUUUAACCUGCCCACUGAAUUUUUAUAUUUUAAAUGGCUGCAGUAAUUUGACUGUACAAAGGUAGCAUAAUCAUUAGUUUUUUAAUUGAAAGCUUGUAUGAAAGGUUGGACGAAGUAUAAUCUGUCUUUAUUUAAUUUAUUGUAGAGUUUAAUUUUUAAGUUAAAAAGCUUAAAUAUUUAUAAAAGACGAGAAGACCCUAUAAAUCUUUAUAUUAUUUUAAAUUAUUUUAAUUAGGAUUAUUUAAUUUAUAAUUUUUUUUUAAUAUUCUAUUGGGGUAAUAGAGUAAUUAAAUUAAUUUAUUUUAAUUUUUUACAUUUAUUUAUGGUUUUAUGAUCCAAUAAGUUUUGAUUAUAAGAUUAAGUUACUUUAGGGAUAACAGCGUAAUUUUUUUUAAGAGUUCAUAUCGAUAAAAAAGUUUGCGACCUCGAUGUUG
RNAcentral lists this ribosomal RNA (470 nucleotides) under Madaglymbus sp. BI-2011. RNAcentral's name for it is "partial 16S ribosomal RNA". The record is from RNAcentral. Lineage: Eukaryota; Metazoa; Arthropoda; Insecta; Coleoptera; Dytiscidae.